UUCGAAAGACGCAAAGAACAAGAGAGACGCAAGCAGAGGGAGAGGCAGACUUUUUUGUGUUGAGGAAGAAGAGAAAGUAGACAGCUUUGUGGGAUGGAAUCAGAGCAAGGACGACCAUGUACGACCAUGCGCAACGUGCAAGCUCAGCUUUAGCAAUAGCUAUUGGAGAAACCGACUAGGGAGAGGCCCUGAAAUGAGGUAGAACUGAGGAACGAUGAGGCUAUAAAGGAGAUUUGAGAGAAACGAGAUGGAGCACGAAGAGGAGUUUCAGGAAAGAGAAAGCCGAAAAGAGCCUUCGGGAGAGGGAGAGGAGCGGCAAAGACGGGAGAUUAAGGAGCAAGUAAGAAGUUUGUUUAAAUGAAAUGAAUUGUGGCUAUAUUUGUUAUAAUGGUAAAAUUGAAUAAUCUUUAUGAUGUAUAGGAACUUGGCUAUGUACUGCGUACAUGCUAAAUUUGAAAGUGAUAUUCGUUCUUGAGAUCAUUCGAGCAAAAAAACUCACAUCCAUAUUAUAUGACUGUAUAGUAGUUAAUUUAUUCAAACCUGGUUUCACAAUAUGCAUCUCCUUGUCUGGAUCAGAGGCCUGAAUUUUGCUAAUCAUGCCACGGGAUUUUGCUAGACUAUCAACUGCUCCAUUUUAUGUGUUGAAUUGUUUGCCCAGUUAUUGAGGAUCAAGAGAAUAGAAAAGUUGAUGAAUGUAUAUGAGGAAAUUGUGAUAGAUGAAUUGGGAAUGUAUAUGCCCUAUGAAACCUUGAGCAAACAGAAUGAAAUGUAGGCACUAAUUAGAGAAAUGUUUAUGUUAAGGUUUAUCAACGGUGCAAUGUACCAGAGAAGGAAGAAGACAGAUUGCUGUCUCUUUUGAUAUAUUAGGCAUGAAGAAUUUAAUGAAAGUGUUGAGUAGUUUCUUACUCAAGAGACCAUGGAGUUUUCUCUUAAUGAGCCCUUUAAUUAGAUUCAAGAUACUAGAAAGAAAAAGAACUCCAUUUUCUACUGCUUUCAAUCAACCCAUAAUUAGAUUCAUCAGUCGCGACCCUAAUAGUUUAUGUACCGAUUCAUGAUGUAAUUGAUCUGGAUUUCCCAUAAAUGUCUGAAAAGAAAAUCAAUGGCUUGAUUUUCUUUUAUAUAUCAUGCACCUGUGCCCUUUUUUAUGUGUUGGGCUGUUGGGAACUGUGUUUUAUGUGAACAAGAGAUUUAGACAUGUCCUAGGGAAGAAUGAGAAGACUGCUAAUUUAUUUUUGUUUUGUUCUCUGUUUCCAUUUAUGUAUGUAACUUCAACAUUCCUAAAUAUGGUUUGUAAAAAGAUUUAAGAUUUACUUAAUAUAUUUCAUGACAGAUAUUAUACUCACAUUUGCACAGUAGUUAAGACAUAAGCAAAAUCCAGAUUAUGCCUUAAUUAACUAGUCUAGAUCACAAGGUGAGUGCUUUAUCUUUUGUUACCUUUUACUACUUUAAACCUAAAUUUUUAUAUUACUAAUCGCUGCAUAUGUGGUGAUUGAUCCCACACUUGAUAAGAUUACUUCUGACUCAUUAUUUUGUGAACUUAAAUAUUUAGAUUAGAUUUCAUGGAGAAUCACUAGUCCACUGUGACAAUUUCAAGUUUUAAAGUUAAGAUAUAUGAAGAAAACCUUUGGUUAUCCUUUCAAGUAAUUAGAAAUCUGUUAAAACAAGAACCUGAGAUUUGUUAUCUUCUUUUCUUUUCUCCUCUUUUAGUCCUUAGUGUUGUUUUCCUCUACUAACAUCUUGGAUAAUCACGAUACCAAAGCACUGAUGUAGAAGAAAAGUAAAANNNNNNNNNNNNNNNNNNNNNNNNNNNNNNNNNNNNNNNNNNNNNNNNNNNNNNNNNNNNNNNNNNNNNNNNNNNNNNNNNNNNNNNNNNNNNNNNNNNNNNNNNNNNNNNNNNNNNNNNNNNNNNNNNNNNNNNNNNNNNNNNNNNNNNNNNNNNNNNNNNNNNNNNNNNNNNNNNNNNNNNNNNNNNNNNNNNNNNNNNNNNNNNNNNNNNNNNNNNNNNNNGAGUUUUCUAAUUUGUUGGAUUGUAUAUUCAUUUCUUUGGUAGAUGAGAAGCCCUAAGUUGGGUGAAGACAUUGAAGUUCAAAGAAUGAAGAGGCUGGACAGCUUAGAGCUAGGCAAACUUUUAAGGAUAAUACAGAAACACUGGUGGUUCAGUAUGAACUUCAAGUUAGACCUCAAAGAUUUGCAUUGCCAAAUAUAAUAAGAAUUUGGAGAAUAACUGAAAAAAUGCAAGUAAAACUUGUUUUCAAAAUGUUAAUUUUCACUCAACAUAAAUAUAGCUUUUAGUAUUGAAUUUAAUGUCUUUUCCUUUAGGAGAGGACGUUGGAAUGGGAUAAGGGCCCCCCUUAAAAACGUGAAGCUGAAGGUAGGUUGCAAGAGCUCAAAUGUGAGGAGGGCAAACCAUUUGCUCAUACUAAGUAUAAUAGUUUAAUUUACUGAAAGGUGAUGGUCAUAUGAUUUUUCUUUAAAUAAAAAUGAAAGUUUUUCUUAAGAAAAUUAGAAGGAUCUUAUUUAUUUCAAAAGUUUAAAAUCUUUUCUUUUAAAAUGAAAAAUAGUUAACCUUUGGUCUUCCAGGAAAUUGCGUUUCCUAGUAUCUACUAAUUAUUUGUGCUUGUCUUCCAAUCAUGGCAUGUUAUUGUUUUAACCUAUGUUUCAGGGAUGAUCCCCAGCUGCACAAAAUGCUGAAGGAGAGAGUUAGCUGAGGUGAUCCCAUGGCGUUUUUGGUCAAGGUAAUUGAUUUACUUGAUCACUACUUCAUAAAUUGGAAAAACUUAAGAGUGGAUUCCCAGUUGUAGCUAGAUCGAAAGAGGUUUAGUGCUGCUCCAAAUCGUUAUAAGAUUAGGGAGGCACCAAGAUGGGGUGAUCCCAUGGGAUAUUUGGUCAAGUUAAUUGAUUUACUUGAUUACUACUUCCAAUUUGAAAAACUUAAGGGUGGAUGCUCAGUUAUAGAUGGAUCAAAAGAGGCUUAGAUACUGCUCGAAACCGAAAUGAGAUAAAAUCAGGGAGGUACUGGGAUGGGGUUGACCUUAGUAAUGGUCUGUUCCCUUAUAUUCUACUCCUGUUAGAUGUUUCCUGUUUACACUUUUCAUGAGUUGUGAAGCACUUAUCUUAUGGCUCUCACCAUUUUCCACACACUAUAGUUGGGAGAAAUCAUUAGCUGUAGGAAGACUAUUUCCCUCCCAACAAAAAGAAAGUAAAGACAUCGAGAACGAUUCUUUAUAUGUAAUUAUCAUUGAAAUGAUUAUUUUCUUUUUCUGCCUUAGAUAGGUUUGUUAAUUCUGCGAUCGAAAAAUAAAGAAAAUAUUUAAAAGAAAUUUUAGCAAACACUUGUUGAGAUAGAAAAGUUAGAAACUUUCAUAUAUUAUUUCAACGAGCUGCACACUUUUUUAAACAAAACUUGUAGCAGAAAAAUUCAAAAUAUCAGCCUAUAAAAUAGGAACAUUCAAUAAGAUAAGAGCUAAUUAACUUAUUGCUAAAAAUUAGGAUUACACAACAGUUAAAUUAGAGAAUCCUAGUCAAAAAUAAAUUCUAAUUAGUCAAUAAUCUCUCCUUUAAACUGAAAGUUUGCAAACUAUCAGUUUAAAAAUGAUUCAUAGUGCAAACUCCUAGCAACUCUCUUAACUUCUCAAAUGCAGACAGCUUCAAAGGCUUGGUCAGAAUGUCAGCCACUUGAUCUUCACUCUUGCAAUAGCUGAGAUCAAUUACUCCUUGUUUUGUAAGAUUCCUUAGGAAGUGAAAUUUCACAUUUAUAUGUUUACUUCUUCUAUGUAGAACAGGAUUCUUAGAUAAUUUAAUUGUUGAUCCAUUAUCACAGUAGAUAGAAGUAGGUCCUUCUUGCUUGAAGUGAAACUCAUCAAGAAUCUUUCUUAACCAGACUGCUUGACAAGCACAGGCUGCAGCAACUACAUAUUCAGUUUCAGUUGUUGAUAAUGUCACUAUUGAUUGCUUUUUGGAAGACCAUGAAACUGCUGUUGUUCCCAUCAAGAAAACAUAACCAAAUAUACUUUUUCUAUCAUCGAAAUCUCCAACAUAAUCACUAUCUGUGAAACCAAAUAGAUUUGAUUUUUCAUCAUUCCUAUAGAGCAUUUUAUAUUUGGAAAUCCCUUGCAAGUAUUGGAGAAUUCUUUUUGCGGCAAGAUGUACUUCCUUAGGACUUUCCAUGUAUCUGCUGAUUUUGCUCACAACAUACAUAAUAUCUGUCCUUGUGGCGGUUAAAUACAUCAAGCUUCCCACAAUUUACUUGUAAAUAGUGCUGUCUACCGUCUUUCCUUCAGGAUUUUUAACAAGCUUUAUUCAUGUAUCCAUUGGAGUACUAGCAGGAUUGUAAUUCUUCAUCUGCAACAUGUUCAAGACUUCCUGCACCAACAUGUUCAAGACUUCCUGCACAUACUUUUCUUGAGAAAUGAAUAUGCCACCAGCAGAUUGAGUCACUUCUAUACUAAGAAAAUAUUGCAUCAAUCCAAGAUCGCUCAUAUCAAAUUCGGUCAUCAUAGACUUCUUAAACUUUUCAAACAUGAUUGUAUCAUUACCGGUAUAAAUUAAAUCAUCUACGUAAAUACAAACCAUAAUCAUCCUCCGAUCAUCUUCCAAUUUUAUAAAAAUUGUGUGUUCAUAUGGACAUUUUUUAAAACCUUCCUUUAAAAAAUAAGUUUCAGUUCGACCAUACCAGGCUCGUAGAGCUUGUUUUAAACCAUACAAGACCUUCUUUAGUCUAUACACUUUAUGUUCAUUUUCAAUUUUAAUAUAACCUGGAGGUUGUUCAAUAAAUACUUGCUCCUUUAGAUCUCCGCAUAGGAAAGCCGAUUUCACAUCUACUUGGAAAAUAGGCUAUGAAUUUUGAGCUGCCAAUUCUAAUUGUGUCAUGCCUUGCUACCAGUGCAAAAACUUCAGUAUAAUCAAUCCCGAACUCUUGCUUGGAGCCUUUAGCAACCAAACGUACUUUGAAUUUAUCAACUUCUCCUUUUUUAUUCAACUUAGUUUUGUAGACUCACUUCACUCCAAUGGAUUUUUGGCAUUUUGGAAGUUCAAUCAACUCCAAGUACUAUUUCUUUCAAUGACAGCUAUCUCAUCAUCCAUUGCCUUCUUCCAUUUUAAGUCUUUUAUGACUUUUUCAAAAGACAUAGGAUCACAAUAUGAUAAAAAGGCAAAAUAGGUUAGUAGUUUUUCAAUUCCAAUUACCUCAUAAUCGGUCAUACAUGUUGGCCUUCUCUUAACUCUUUGAGGUCAAUGUUCACCAUUGCUGGGAGGAGUUUGAGUAACCAAUGGUUGUUCCUCAUUGGUCAUGUGAUGAUCAUUUACCAAAGGUUGCUGUCUUUCUUCGUUUUCAGCAUCAAAAUCAACUGGAAUUUGUUGUUGAAUAAUUUUUUCAUCCUAUUUCCAGAGGUUUGCUUUAUCAAAAAUCACAUCACGGUUAAUGACAAUUUUCUUGAUGAUAGAAUUAUACAACUUGUAGGCCUCAGAAUGAUCACUAACACCAAGAAAAAUGUAUUUUUCUCCUUUGUCAUCUAACUUCUUUUUUUUUUCAUCUGGAACAUGAGCAUAAACAAUGCAUCCAAAAACUUUAAAGUGUUCUAUAGAUGGGUUAUGUUCAUUCCAAGCUUCUUCCAGAGUCAUGUUUUGAACAGCAAGCGUGGGAGAUAUGUUCAAAACAUGGAUACUCCAAUUAACUGCUUCAGGACAAAUGUUUUUAAAAAUGCCACUCUUUUUUUAAAAGAUUUCGAACCAUAUUCAAACUGGUGUGAUUUUUUCUCUCGCAAACACCAUUUUGCUCAGGUGUGUAUGCUGCUGUAAGUUGCCUUUUUAAUUCCANNNNNNNNNNNNNNNNNNNNNNNNNNNNNNNNNNNNNNNNNNNNNNNNNNNNNNNNNNNNNNNNNNNNNNNNNNNNNNNNNNNNNNNNNNNNNNNNNNNNNNNNNNNNNNNNNNNNNNNNNNNNNNNNNNNNNNNNNNNNNNNNNNNNNNNNNNNNNNNNNNNNNNNNNNNNNNNNNNNNNNNNNNNNNNNNNNNNNNNNNNNNNNNNNNNNNNNNNNNNNNNNNNNNNNNNNNNNNNNNNNNNNNNNNNNNNNNNNNNNNNNNNNNNNNNNNNNNNNNNNNNNNNNNNNNNNNNNNNNNNNNNNNNNNAAACAUGAAGGAAGUGGUAUUUGGAAGAUAAAGUAGAAACAUCCCGAUUUGUUGUCAUUUCUGACUUGAGCAAUCAAGCCCAAAUUUUCAUCUCGAACACUGCAAACUCCAGCCUUAAUUAGAAUCUCAUAUCCCUUCUCUUGGAGUUGACCAAUACUUAGUAGAUUAGUCUUUAGUUUUGGAACAAAGAAAAUAUUUGAAAUUGUUUGAUUAGUGUUUUCUUUGGUAUAGAUUUUCACAUUGCCCUUACCCAUCACGUAAACUUUGGAAUUAUUACCAAAUAUCACAGUAUUAUGAAAUGAUUCAUCUAAAUCUGAAAAUGCCAACUUCCGCACAUGUGAUUACUGCAACCAGUAUCUAAAUACCACAAGUGUUGAUGUCUUUCAUCUUUUGCAUGACAUGCCAGCAAAAGAGAGACUUCUUCUUCUUCUUUCUCCGCAAAAUUGGAUCUUUCUCUGUGUUGCUUGUUCAAAUUAGCUCAGCAUUCAGAUUUGUAGUGACCGUACUCGUGACAUCGAUAGCAUUCGAUUCUUGACUUGUCUGCUGACUUGCGAUUUAAUGAGUUGUGGACAUCACAGUUUCUUCCUUUCCAUUGUGAUUGGUUGCUUCCAAAUUUUUUGUGGAAGUGUUUGAUUUAUUUGUUUGUUGUUCCUGGAUCUCCAUUGUUUGAUGAAAAGGUUGUUCGUUGUUGCCUGUAGUGCUUGCUCCUCUGUUUUAGCUUUGAUUAGUUUCGUUUUAUGGACUCUCAAAGAAUUCUGCAAUUCAUCAAUUGUAAUUACAUCAAGAUCUUUAGAUUCUUAAAUUGAAUAGACAAUAUAAUUAAAAUUUGCUAUUAAAGAUCACAUAAUCUUUUCAACAAUCAUCACGCUCUCCAUCUUAUCUCCAUUUAUAUGUCUUUGGUUCACGAUUGCCAUCGUUCUAGAGAAGAAGUCAUCUACUGAUUCUCCAGUCUUCAUAUGUAACGUUUCAAAUUCUGCACAAAGUGCUUGGAGUUGCACUCUCUUUGCCUUUACAUUCCCUUGAUAUUUUUUCUUCAUUGAGUCUCAGAUUUUUUGGACAUAUCUUUACAACGAAUUGUCUCCAAGGUAGAUCGAUCAAUUGCUUAGAAGAGAUAGUUCUUUGCUUUGAAAUCCUUCAACUUUAAUGCUUCAUAUUCUUCUUUUUGCUGCUGCGUCAACGUAGUUCAAACCGCUGGUUCUGCUACUUCAGAUUCAACAACGUUCCAGUACUUCUUGGACCUCAAAAAAUUUUCCAUCAGCAUGCUCCAGUGAUCACAGCGACCAUCAAAGUGUGGAAUAGCUGGCUGUACAAAUGUUGCUUCAAUUGCCAUCAACUCUGCUUGUCUCCUUCACCAACUUACUGCAAUUUUCUCUUCCUCACCUGUUGUAAAGAUGCUUUAAAGAGAUUCUAAUACCAACUGUUAAUUCUGAGACUGAAAAAUUAAAAAAAAAUUUAACAAAUACUUGUUGAGAUAGAAAAAUUAAAAACUUUAAUAUAUUAAUUUAACAAGCUGCACACCUUUUUAAAUAAAAUUUGUAGCAUAAAAGCUCAAGAUAUCAGCUUAUAAAAUAGACACAGCCAACAAGAUAAGAAUUAAUUAACUUAUUCCUAAAGAGUAGGAUUACACAACAACUAAAUUAAAGAAUCUUAAUCAAAAAAUAAAUUCUAACUAGUUAACAAGAUUUUGAGAAGAAGAUGUUCGGAAGGAUGAAUCAGAGAAGUAAGUUUGUGAUAAGUAAGUUUGUGUUGUAGACCUGUGAUAACAUAUAUCAUUUUUAUUUACAGUUGGGCCGUUCCAUGGAUUGUCCGUCUUGUAGAAGAUGUUUCUUGAUCAGUAAUUAAGAAAAAAAUAAUCAACAGGUUUGGAUCUAGUGAUUACUUAAAUUUUCGUUCAUGUUAAAAACUUAAAACUUUUAUUUAUAUUAAUGUUAAAAAAUGACACCUGAUACAUACACAAAAUCUGUUGGAAAUGCAUUUUGCAUCGUGAAGUUAUUGUUUUAAUCCAGAAAUAUUACAUCAAAUUACGAGGUUUGACUGAAAUGGUAUAAUUCAUUGACAUUAAUAAAAACAAGAAAUCCGUUGAUUUCAAGCUUAAAAAAUGAUUAGUGGAUGGGGUAAGGAUGAGUUACAGGAAACUUGCAAAGCAAGAAAUUAAAAUUAUGUGUUCUCUAUUAUUCAUCAUAUGUAAGUAAUAUUUUAAUAAUAACAUUAAAUUAAAAACUAGUAUUGAAAUUUAUUAUUUGUUGGUCUACCCUUUCUUACUUUUUAUUUUAAAGUAUAGCAUAAUAUAUAUAUAUAUAUAUAUAUAUAUAUAUGUGUGUGUGUGUUGUGCUAGACAAAAAUCAAAAUUUAAAUUAUUAACACGAACUUGGGCUUGGGUUUGGUCUUGGGCUUGGGCUUGGUCUUGGGCUUAGUCAAAAUUUAAUUAACUAAGAUACGUUAGUUAUCCCUUCGAUGUAAUUAAAUUUUGAAAUUUAUAUUCAAUUUGAUUGUUUGACUGGCUAGAGGUCUCUGUGUAUACAUGUUAUUUAUUCAUGUUAUUUAUUACCAAUAAUUUUCUCUUAUUUUUAAUUUUUCUUCUUUAAACUUAAGACUCAUUUGUGGCGAUUGGCGGCUCAAAGUUUUUAAGGUUCUUUUUGGUAAUUCCAUAGCUUUUUUAGUGCAAAUUAUCCUUUUUUUUUUUUUUAUCUUAUAAAACGUACUUAUAUAUAUAUAUAUAUAUAUACAUAGAUAGCCAAGAGAUGUUCAACCAACCUUAAAUUGUCUUACAUAUAAUGUUCAAAUAUUUUAUUAUUAAUAUUUAUAUAAAUUUGUAAAGAAAAUUCAAUCUAAAGUUCUCACCUAAUAUAUUAUUAAUUCAAGUAUCAACAAUAAUUGUUGAUACUUGAAUUAAUAAUAUAUUAUCUGGAUCUAUUUUUUUAAGUUUGUUAUCUCAGAAACAAAACAAGAUGUAUACAAAUUGUUCCAUCCUAAAAGUCAAGUUAUUCGACGCAUGUUAAGCGACUUGACGAGUCAUGGUUCAUGUGAUAAAAAAAGCAAAUUGAAUUAAUUAAUUACGAUAAAUAUAUGAUGUGUGUGUAUAUAUAUAUAUAUAUAUAUAAAUGCAAAUAAUAUUAAACUUAUAUUGUAACACUUUUAAUUAAUUUUAAAAUGUUUAAAAUUAGUGUAUAAAUACAAAUUUUGAAUUUUUAAAUUUUUUAUUUAAUGUAUAAAAUUUAAUUUUUAAUUUAAUAAAUUAUUAAUUAAUAUAAAAAUAAAAAUAAAUUAAAUAGAGGAUGAAAUUGAAAAUGAGUUUGAAAAAAAUGGGUGAAAAUUUGGGUUUUUGAGGUAUUUUUGAAAGAAAAUUCAGAAACUGGGGGUCGAAAUACAAUUUAGAAAAAUUAUGUCACGUAGGAUGUCCAGUCAGUAACCUCGACGAACUGGAGCGCGCCGCGUGGUAAGGCACGCUGACGUGGUACCACGCAGAUGAUCUGAGUGCCCGCGAUCAGACAGUCCAGAUUCGUUCCCACGUGCACGGACGGCCAAAAUUAAAUCGCGAUGGACAGUCCAGAUUUACUUCUUAUUUAAUUGCGAUCGGACGAUUCAGAUUAAAAGGAGACGAAUAUAAAUAACUCUCUUCACACCAAACCCUAACCCUAGCUACUAGACACCCCCGCCGGAGAAGAAGAGCCAACUGUCGGAAAGGAAGCCGCCCGCCACCUGCCGUCGCGCCGGAGCCACUUUUGACCGCCAAAAGAGGUAAAAAAAAUUUCUUUGCUCGAAAUUCAAUUUUAAACACCCCCAUGGCCAAAUAUGAGCAAAAGGAUCAACAGAUUGGCCGAAAAUUGUGGGCAAAGCCCGGCGCCACCGCCGUAGAAAAUUACAAAAACCGCCUCUAAUGAGGCCCUUCUUGAUUUUCAUUCUGCGUAAUUCUUCUACCAUUAUAAUCACUGUUUCCUUCUCUACAAAUUGAACAAAGCAAAAUACCCAAUCGCGAAGGUGAGCCGGCGGAGCCGCCACAUCGAAGGAACCUGCCUCUGGUGAGUUUCGAUUUUUCAAUUUUUUUCGGCCAACCGAGACCCCUUAACGUGUUUUCUCAUAGAGAUUGGUACAAAAUCGGUUGAAUUCAGCCAAAAAUAGCUGACCCGAGACAAACCACUACCGCGAACGACGGUGCCGUCAAUGGAGCACGGCAGAGCCGCCGUGCCGGAUUUUCAGAAUUGGCCAAAAAGAUUUCCUAAUGCUGAUUUUGGAUUUUUUGGGAUAUUUUUCGGUACUUAAAGCGUGUUUUAAUCCCUGAAGGAAAAUUUAUGGAACCCGCAAACCCCCAAUAGGCGUAAUCAAAAGUUUUGCAUUUCAGACAUCAAUUUGCGUAAGAAUCUCUCACCUUAUUCUUUGUUAUGGAAUUGAAGUCUAAUUAAUAAUAAUAAUACGGUGAUUUGCAUAGUGUAGAAAAUAUCCAUGAUUAAUUACAGGUUACUAAUGGAGCCAGAAUUGGAAAUUAUUCACUGUUGAUUCUGUUGAUUUAUUUUACAAUUUGAAUGCAUGAUAAUAUCUAAUUAUUGGAUCUUAUAGUUUGAAUGCAUGUAUUGCUUUGCUUCAUAUGAUUAUGGUCGAAUUGAGAAACUGGAAUUUAAAGAAAAUUAGGAAACUAUUUGAUUAAGUGAAUGGACAAAAUAACCGCUUUACUAGAUAUCCUAAAAGAUGGUGGACGAACCGAGUACAUAGAAAAUCCAAUCGUGAACGUUGUCUCAUACCGAACGGGAUAUUAAGGUUUGGUAAUUUGGCGCUCAUACCGGAUGGAGUAUGGAGACGACUCAUUUCACCUUCAUACCGGAUGGGGUAUCGAGGUUUAAUAAUUUGGUGCUCAUAUCGAACGGGGUAUGGUGACGACCCGUUAAUUAGAAAUGUUAAAGGAAAUGGUUCACGCGUUGUAGGGACAUUCCUAUGGACCCCCAUGGAUACUAGUAUGCUGAUAAAAGAGAAAAUUAUUAUUCCAAUCGAUUACAUAUAAAGUUAUGAUCUGUGUUAUUUUAUUGCCUCUAUAGGUUAUUUUUGUAAAUCUCGCUACGGUAAGUAGAUGGUAGAUGAUUUCAUUUAUGAUAAAUGAUUUUGCUUAAUUAAGAGCUCCAUUAGUUAUUUUUAUGAUUUCUACCAACCUUCAUUUAUGUGUCAGUGAGUAGUGUGAUAUUUUUACUGGGUUAAUGUAGCUCAUUCUUUCAUUAACUAUUACAGAUCAAGAGGAUCAAGAUCCAGAGCCCUAUCCACAAGAGGAUUGCGAGUAAGACAUUCAGCUUGUUUACUUUUAAUUUAUUUCCUUAGUUAUUAGUUGUUCUUUUAGAAAGGUUAUUCUCGUAAGUCUUAUUUGGUACUUUUAGUUAUUGUGUAAGGAAUGUAAACCAUAAUUAUUUAUUUCGCUUCCACAUUAAAUUUAUAAUUUAUUUCCUUUGAAUUUCUAGGAUCGUUAUAGUUGGCAUCAGAGUCGCAUUCCUCAUAACCAUUCCUUUCACAAAGUCCUUAGAAAACACAAAGAUAAUAAAUUAUCACUCAACCGUUCCUUAUGAAAUGUAGGUACUGAUAGAUGAAGAGAGGAAGAC
RNAcentral lists this long non-coding RNA (11699 nucleotides) under Carica papaya (papaya). RNAcentral describes it as "long non-coding RNA (CPAP_LNC001973)". The record is from RNAcentral. Lineage: Eukaryota; Viridiplantae; Streptophyta; Magnoliopsida; Brassicales; Caricaceae.